AUAGAUGCACCCAGUGCUUUAACACAUUGUCUGCAUAAUCAUCAGUAUCCCCAUUUUAGAGAUGAGGAAACCUGAACAGAGAAGGGUCCCUGGGGAGGCCAUCAGGGAAGGUUGCUGGGAAACGAAGUUAUGGAUGCAGCUGAUCCAGGGGACAAUGCUGUCUACAGCUUUAGAAUCCAGGAAAGAGGACAUUUGGGGACCUGUUUAUGGAAGGCUGAUAUAUUUGCUUUGCAUACAGAGUUGAGAGGAUGCUGAUAUUAGGAAACUCAGGUGGAGAGAAAAAAAAUCAUGACGAAACUGGCUGCUAACUGAAGCAAAGCCACAGCCAAUUUAGCAAAAGGAACACAAAUUCUCAAACGGGGAAGGAGCCAAAGGUGCUGGGACUGUAAAGGAAGAAAAAAUAAAUCCAUUUAUGCA
RNAcentral lists this long non-coding RNA (417 nucleotides) under Homo sapiens (human). Its description in RNAcentral is "HSALNT0154319". The record is from RNAcentral. Lineage: Eukaryota; Metazoa; Chordata; Mammalia; Primates; Hominidae.